UUCCUGAAUCUUGGUGCUGCUGUGCUGUCAGGAAGUACCUGCGAAGCCCACAGCGGUGGGUAACUCCCUCUCCUGCGCAAGGCUCGGCCAGAAGGCAACGUAUAGCAGUCUUCCAGUGCUGCAGUUCCUGCUGCUGAAAGCUUUUCCUGGGAUACCACUGAGCGUUGUGCCUCUUGUAACAGCAACCUGGAUAAAAAGUCAUAACCUUUGAAGAUGAGGUGAAUAUUCAGUUAACUGGAAAUAAAGCUGCCUUCCAGGAGACAGGAUUCCUGGAGAGGAAGUAUGCAAGAAGCAUCACCUGCUGUUGCUGCAGGCCCAGCACCAGGACUCCUGCCAGGACUCCUCCUGGACGCUGAAGAUUGCCGUGGUGUUGGCACGGAGAGCAGGAAGGCCAUCGUUUCUUCACACUGUCAGCAUUUCCACUGCUGACUCUGGUGGCGUGGGAAGGAG
Molecule: long non-coding RNA, 450 nt
Organism: Gymnogyps californianus (California condor)
Lineage: Eukaryota; Metazoa; Chordata; Aves; Accipitriformes; Cathartidae
Exons: 3
Source: RefSeq, a predicted model, not a curated record